CAGGGAUUACCUCAGUAACGGCGAGUGAAGCGGUAACAGCUCAAAUUUGAAAUCGGGGCCCUCCUGGGUCCCGAGUUGUAAUUUGUAGAAGAUGCUUCGGGUGCGGCCCCGGCCUAAGGGCCUUGGAACAGGACGUCAUAGAGGGUGAGAAUCCCGUCUGUGGUCGGGCGCCUGUGCCCGUGUGAAGCUCUUUCGACGAGUCGAGUUGUUUGGGAAUGCAGCUCAAAAUGGGUGGUAAAUUUCAUCUAAAGCUAAAUAUUGGCCAGAGACCGAUAGCGCACAAGUAGAGUGAUCGAAAGAUGAAAAGCACUUUGGAAAGAGAGUUAAACAGUACGUGAAAUUGUUGAAAGGGAAGCGCUUGCAACCAGACUUGCGUGCGGCCGAUCAUCCAGCGUUCUCGCUGGUGCACUCGGCCCUGCGCAGGCCAGCAUCGGUUCCAGUGGCUGGAGAAAGGCCCGGGGAACGUAGCUCCUCUCGGGGAGUGUUAUAGCCCCGGGUGCCAUGCAGCCCACCGGGACCGAGGACCGCGCUCCGGCUAGGAUGCUGGCGUAAUGGUUGUAAGCGACCCGUCUUGAAACACGGACCAAGGAGUCUAACAUCUAUGCGAGUGUUUGGGUGCCAAAACCCAUGCGCGGAAUGAAAGUGAACGGAGGUGAGAGCCCUUCAGGGUGCAUCAUCGACCGAUCCUGAUGUCUUCGGAUGGAUUUGAGUAGGAGCAUAGCUGUUGGGACCCGAAAGAUGGUGAACUAUGCCUGAAUAGGGUGAAGCCAGAGGAAACUCUGGUGGAGGCUCGCAGCGGUUCUGACGUGCAAAUCGAUCGUCAAAUUUGGGUAUAGGGGCGAAAGACUAAUCGAACCAUCUAGUAGCUGGUUCCUGCCGAAGUUUCCCUCAGGAUAGCAGUGUUGUAUUCAGUUUUAUGAGGUAAAGCGAAUGNUUAGAGGCCUUGGGGUUGAAACAACCUUAACCUAUUCUCAAACUUUAAAUAUGUAAGAAGUCCUUGUUGCUUAA
This 1008-nucleotide ribosomal RNA is filed under the name Ascodichaena rugosa. RNAcentral describes it as "eukaryotic LSU rRNA". It matches the Rfam family "Eukaryotic large subunit ribosomal RNA", at positions 69 to 1094 of the family's 3401-position model. The record is from RNAcentral. Lineage: Eukaryota; Fungi; Ascomycota; Leotiomycetes; Rhytismatales; Ascodichaenaceae.